Molecule: unclassified non-coding RNA, 233 nt
Filed under: Hevea brasiliensis (rubber tree)
Lineage: Eukaryota; Viridiplantae; Streptophyta; Magnoliopsida; Malpighiales; Euphorbiaceae
Source: RNAcentral
GGCUUAGUUAAGUUGAGUUGAGUUAAGUUUAAGGAAAUUUUACCACUUACUCUGUAUAUUAUAUCAUUAAUUAUUCCCAAUCAUAAGUUUUGCCAUGAUAGAUUAAACAAUAUAUUUUUGAACCAUAAAUGUUGUCAUCAGUUGAACUGAAGCAGUAAUGAACACUAUUAGACCAAUCACCCUAACAAUUUAAUAAGUUUUGACAGAUUACCUGUACAUCUCCAGCUGCAAAC